GACGAACGCUGGCGGCGUGCUUAACACAUGCAAGUCGAACGGAAAGGCCCUGCUUUUGUGGGGUGCUCGAGUGGCGAACGGGUGAGUAACACGUGAGUAACCUGCCCUUGACUUUGGGAUAACUUCAGGAAACUGGGGCUAAUACCGGAUAGGAGCUCCUGCUGCAUGGUGGGGGUUGGAUAGUUUCGGCGGUUGGGGAUGGACUCGCGGCUUAUCAGCUUGUUGGUGGGGUAGUGGCUUACCAAGGCUUUGACGGGUAGCCGGCCUGAGAGGGUGACCGGGCACAUUGAGACUGAGAUACGGACAAGGCUCAGACGGGGAGGAGGAGUUGCGGAUAGUGAGAUGUGGGAGGAAGCCUGAUGCAGAAACGCCACGUGCGGGAUUACGGCCUACGGGUUGGAAACCGCGUUCGCCUGUGACGAAGGGUGGAUGACGGUAAUGGGUAAAGGAGCACCGGCUAACUUCGUG
Molecule: ribosomal RNA, 468 nt
Filed under: uncultured bacterium
Lineage: Bacteria
Description: partial 16S ribosomal RNA
Rfam family: Bacterial small subunit ribosomal RNA
Source: RNAcentral